This 253-nucleotide ribosomal RNA is filed under the name uncultured bacterium. RNAcentral describes it as "partial 16S ribosomal RNA". It matches the Rfam family "Bacterial small subunit ribosomal RNA", at positions 524 to 776 of the family's 1533-position model. The record is from RNAcentral.
UACGUAGGGGGCAAGCGUUGUCCGGAUUUACUGGGCGUAAAGCGUGCGCAGGCGGUUGUGCAAGACAGAUGUGAAAUCCCCGGGCUUAACCUGGGAAUUGCAUUUGUGACUGCACGGCUAGAGUGUGUCAGAGGGGGGUAGAAUUCCACGUGUAGCAGUGAAAUGCGUAGAUAUGUGGAGGAACACCGAUGGCGAAGGCAAUCCCCUGGGCCUGUACUGACGCUCAUGCACGAAAGCGUGGGGAGCAAACAGG